UACGGGAGGCAGCAGUGGGGAAUAUUGCACAAUGGGCGCAAGCCUGAUGCAGCCAUGCCGCGUGUAUGAAGAAGGCCUUCGGGUUGUAAAGUACUUUCAGCGGGGAGGAAGGGAGUAAAGUUAAUACCUUUGCUCAUUGACGUUACCCGCAGAAGAAGCACCGGCUAACUCCGUGCCAGCAGCCGCGGUAAUACGGAGGGUGCAAGCGUUAAUCGGAAUUACUGGGCGUAAAGCGCACGCAGGCGGUUUUGUUAAGUCAGAUGUGAAAUCCCCGGGCUCAACCUGGGAACUGCAUCUGAUACUGGCAAGCUUGAGUCUCGUAGAGGGGGUAGAAUUCCAGGUGUAGCGGUGAAAUGCGUAGAGAUCUGGAGGAAUACCGGUGGCGAAGGCGGCCCCUGGGACGAAGACUGACGCUCAGGGU
RNAcentral lists this ribosomal RNA (421 nucleotides) under uncultured bacterium. Its description in RNAcentral is "bacterial SSU rRNA". It matches the Rfam family "Bacterial small subunit ribosomal RNA", at positions 340 to 752 of the family's 1533-position model. The record is from RNAcentral.